GACGUAGGGCGCAAGCGUUGUCCGGAUUUAUUGGGCGUAAAGAGCUCGUAGGCGGCUUGCCGCGUCGACUGUGAAAACCCGUGGCUCAACCAUGUGGUCUGCAGUCGAUACGGGCAGGCUAGAAUUCGGUAGGGGAGACUGGAAUUCCUGGUGUAGCGGUGAAAUGCGCAGAUAUCAGGAGGAACACCGGUGGCGAAGGCGGGUCUCUGGGCCGAUAUUGACGCUGAGGAGCGAAAGCGUGGGGAGCGAACAGG
RNAcentral lists this ribosomal RNA (254 nucleotides) under uncultured bacterium. RNAcentral describes it as "partial 16S ribosomal RNA". It matches the Rfam family "Bacterial small subunit ribosomal RNA", at positions 524 to 776 of the family's 1533-position model. The record is from RNAcentral.